Molecule: long non-coding RNA, 811 nt
Organism: Mugil cephalus (flathead mullet)
Lineage: Eukaryota; Metazoa; Chordata; Actinopteri; Mugiliformes; Mugilidae
Exons: 3
Source: RefSeq, a predicted model, not a curated record
UGGGCGUCGGUGUGGCCGCAGGCGGGGACGAAGUCCAGCCUCCCCGCAGGGACUGAGGAGGCUGUCCUCACGGGGGUUGAUGAGGAUGAUGAUGAGGAGUGAGGGGUGAGGAGGACCCGCCAUGGCAGCCUCAUCUGAGGUAGGAGCAGAUUGGACUUGGACUUGGACUUGGAGGAGCCUCUUCUUCAGUAAAGAACUGCUUCAGUUGUAAGAUGGUGGCUAUUUGUCUCACUGCAUGACCCAGUUUCUCUUCAUUCAGCUCACAGAAAGAUCUUCUGAUAAUUUCAAAUGGAAUUCUCUGGUAUAACUCAGAAUUCACUGGUCCAUCAAUGAUGAUGAGACAUCCUGGUCCAGAUGAAGCAAAACAGGCCCAAACAAGGACAUCACCGCCCCCAUGGUUUGUGGACGGGAUCAGGAUUCUGAUGCUGGAAUGUUGUUUCGUCUCCAUUUUCAUGGAUUGGAAACACUUUUGAACGGAUGGAUUCUACUUUGGCCUAAAAGUUAAGAUACCUCACAGAUAUGUGAUAUUGGUUCAUUAUACUGAAUUAACAAACACACAACUGUUUGUGUGUAGUAUUGGGGUCAGUAUUCGGUUGCGUUCUCUUUGUCCACUUUCAGGACUAGUGUCUUUUUACACAUAAAUUCUGAGGGCUGGACAAGCAUGAAACUUUGUUUUUUAACAUUUAUUAUAUAAACUUGAUUUUACUGGCCCUGUAUACAUUUGGAUAUGUUCACAGUCUAAACACAUCCAUUUUACAUUCAUAUGUAUUUGUGUUGAUAUUUCUUGCCAUAAAAAUAUUUUAUUAUUGUA